This 85-nucleotide transfer RNA is filed under the name Candidatus Woesebacteria bacterium. Its description in RNAcentral is "tRNA-Leu". It matches the Rfam family "tRNA". Rfam says of the family: Transfer RNA (tRNA) molecules are approximately 80 nucleotides in length. Lineage: Bacteria; Candidatus Woeseibacteriota. The record is from RNAcentral.
GCCGAGAUGUUGGAAUGGUAGACAAGACAGACUUAAAAUCUGUUGCUACGAAUGUAGCGUGGGAGUUCGAAUCUCCCUCUCGGCA